This 276-nucleotide long non-coding RNA is filed under the name Parus major (Great Tit). RNAcentral's name for it is "lncRNA (ENSPMJG00000016184.1)". The record is from RNAcentral. Lineage: Eukaryota; Metazoa; Chordata; Aves; Passeriformes; Paridae.
CGGGGGGCGGCGCGGGGGAGGCUGCGAGCGCCCCGCCCCGCGGGCCUGGCCGUGAGAUGGCGACGGUGCUGGCGGGCGGCUCUGGGCGGGAGGUGCGGGAGGCAGCGCGGCGCUCGGGGGUCUGCCGGUCCGCCCGCCCGCCCCCGGCGGCUGGGGCUGCGUGCCCGCAGGGAAGCGGUAUCUGCUAACAGCAGAAGAUAUAAAGCUACAAGAAUUUCAGCAGAUGAAGGAAAAUGUGCUGGACAGAGAACCCUCUCUUCUGAAGCAGAAGGAUAG